This 600-nucleotide ribosomal RNA is filed under the name uncultured bacterium. RNAcentral describes it as "bacterial SSU rRNA". It matches the Rfam family "Bacterial small subunit ribosomal RNA", at positions 35 to 624 of the family's 1533-position model. The record is from RNAcentral.
GCUGGCGGCAGCUUACACAUGCCAGUCUCAGCGGAGAUGAAGUGCUUGCACCUUAUCUUAACGGCGGACGAGGUGAAUAAUGCUUAGAAUCUGCCAUUUAGUGGGGGACAACAUUCCGAAAGGAAUGCUAAUACCGCAUACGUCCUACGGGAGAAAGCAGGGAUCUUCGGACCUUGCGCUAAAUGAUGAGCCUAAGAUCGAGAUUAGCUAGUUGUGUGGGGUAAAGUGCCUACCAAGGCGACAGAUCUGUAGCGGGUCUGAGAGGAUGAUCCGCACACUGGGACUUGAGACACUGGCCAGACUCCUACGGGAGUGCAGCAGUGGGGAAUAUUGGACAAUGGGCGGAAGCCUGAUCCAGCCAUGCCGCGUGUGUGAAGAAAGCCUUUUGGUAUGUAAAGCACUUUAAGCGAGGAGGAGAGCUACUCAGUACUAAUACUACUGGAUAGUGGACGUUACUCGCAGAAUAAGCACCGGCUAAACUCUGUGCCAGCAGCCGCGGUAAUACAGAGGGUGCGAGCGUUAAUCGGAUUUACUGGGCGUAAGCGUGCGUAGUGCGGUUAAGUCGGAUGUGAAAUCCCCGAGGCUUAACUUGGGAAUUGC